GAGAGGGGUAGGGGUGGUGGCAGCGGCCCCAGAGACAUGCGUCACGUGGUUUUCCCUCCCUUGGAGUUGCUGCCAGAACGGGCUCUACGGCGGCUUAAGCCUAGAGUGAGAGGAAUUUUGCUGCUCGGGCGUCGGCGGCCGGAGCUGCCGGUGCAGGUCGGCCAAUCGCCAUGUCCUUGCGGAAGCCAGGAGAUGGCGACGGCGGAAGCGCGAGGCUGGGGGGCUCCCCCGGGGCCGAGGAUCUCCAAGAAUGUGCGCCGGCUCGGUGCUUACCACUGCUGCCUUGGGACCGCUUCUCGGCCUGGUUGCACUGCGUGUGUGUGGUGGGCUUCGACUUGGAGCUCGGGCAGGCUGUGGAGGUAAUAUACCCUCAACAUGCAAAACUUACAGAUAAAGAGAAAACCAAUAUUUGCUAUUUGUCAUUCCCAGAUUCCAAUUCAGGGUGCCUUGGAGACACGCAGUUUUGUUUUAGAUUUCGACAGUCUUCUAGCAGAAACCUUUCAUGGCAUUGUUUGCUGGACCAGUUUGACAGAGACCUCCCCAUUUACUUGAAGAAGGAUCCUGCAUAUUAUUAUGGUUAUGUAUACUUCAGACAAGUACAAGACAAAACGUUAAAAAGAGGCUACUUCCAGAAGUCCUUGGUUAUGAUCAGCAAGUUGCCUUAUAUCCACUUUUUUCACACUGUGCUUGGACAAAUUGCACCAGAAUAUUUUGAAAAGAAUGAACCUUUCUUGGAAGCAGCUUGUAGUGAUAUUGAUCGAUGGCCACCCCCAGUUCCAGGGAAAACCCUACAUUUGCCUAUCAUGGGCAUUGUAAUAAAGGUGCGGAUUCCUACAUGUCGUGACAAGCCUGGAAAAACCCAAGUAUUACAGUCCACAAACCAGACAGACACACAAGUCUCCAUUGCUUUGUCUACUGUCCACGAAAUUGAUCUCUUCAGAUGUUUCUCGCCAGUGUUCUUUCAUAUCCAGAUGCUAUGGGAGCUAGUGUUGUUAGGGGAACCGCUUGUUGUCAUGGCACCAUCACCAUCAGAGUCUUCAGAAACUGUGUUGGCACUUGUAAGCUGUAUUUCACCUCUGAAGUACUAUAGUGAUUUUAGGCCUUAUUUUACAAUACACGACAGUGAAUUCAAAGAAUAUACCACUCGUACACAGACCCCGCCUUCUGUCAUCUUAGGAGUGACAAAUCCAUUUUUUGCUAAAACUCUGCAGCACUGGCCACACAUCAUCCGAAUAGGAGACAUUAAACUGUCAGAUCCCUUUGAUGUAGCCAGAGGCAGAUGUACGGACGAAACCUCGUAUGCGGAGGAGUCAACUUUCACUGACCAUGUUGAAGGAGACGACUGGAGCGACUAUUCAGAUCAUGAGGAGGAUACAUCGUAUCGCUUGUUUAAUACCUCAGAUUAUCAGCCGCUAGCACGCAGGGUAGUUAAUACCCUUGGUCUCCAGACUGCGCCUUCAACUUCGCCCGCCCCAGCUAUCAAAGGGGCCAAGGUCCUCAAAUCCCCUGCACCUACUGCGCACUACAUCCCGGUGCCGGACCUAAUUACCAAAUUAGCCUCUGAAGAAUGGGCCCAUCCACUCAAAGCUCGACGCUUCAAGAAUCUGGCUGACAGACUUUACGCCCUAGCCCCGGACUUUGCCACCAAGUUAGAUGUCCCUGGCAUAGAUGAACCAAUCGCUCGCCUCGUUUCACGAUCGCUUUUGCCCAGGGAAGGGGAAUCCCACCUAAAAGACACUACUGAGCGACAAAUAGACUUUGCCCUCCGCAAGAAUCACGAGGCCACUACCCUAGCCAUGCGUGCCUCCGCUUCAGCCUCCAUCUUCUCCAGAGCAUCUAUGAUGUGGCUGGAUGACCUUCUAGAGGAUUCUAACCCUGAUCCUGUCACCCUCAGAAGAGCACUAUUGAAAUUGCGUAAGACAGCAGCUUUUGUGGCCGAUGCCACUUUGGAUGCCACCCAAUUAGGGGCACGAGCCAUGACGGCUCAAAUAGUUGCUCGUCGCACCCUCUGGCUUCGCCACUGGCAAGCUGAUUCAGCGGCCAGAUUGAAUCUGUCCAGGGCUCCUUACUCCGGAUCUCUACUCUUCGGCGAGGAAGCUCUAAAGGCAGUGCUGGUUGAUCCAAAAGACGCCCACAAACCGGUUCUGGCCACAGUCAAGAACAGCGACCACAGGCCUUUCAGGCGAUUUCCUUCAUUCCGUUCUAACCAGCCCUUUCGAGGAACGCGGCCAGGAGGACGAGGCCGCGACUUCAGACCCUAUGACCCCAACGCAUUCAGGGGCUCCUGGAACCGACGCUUCCAGGGCAGAGGCCUACGGCUGGCUUGUCAACUUCGACAAAAGCCAUCUCCAACCAACCCAACGCCUACUACAUCUAGGGGCAAUGUUGGACACCCUGCAGGCAAUGGUCUUCUUGGCUCCAGAUCGCAUCACUGCCAUCACAAGCAUCGCAAGGUCCCUGAUGCAACAAACAUCCGCAGACGUCAUGCUUCUUGCCAGAGCGCUCGGGAUGUUUAUAUCUACAAUCCACAUUGUGCCAUGGGCUCGAGCCCACACUCGGCCCCUUCAAUGGAUUCUGUUGCCUUUUCAAAAAGACAUCGCCAGCUCCAACCAUCGCAAAGUUCGCUUGAGCCCUGCACUGCGCCUCUCCUUCCGCUGGUGGACCAAGGUUCAACACCUCUCCAAGGGCACGUCGUUCAGAGAACCCCGCAGAACCGUUGUAACCACAGAUGCCAGCCUCAUAGGUUGGGGAGCCCACUGCAACUCCCAGUACGUUCAGGGGGUUUGGUCCAACACAGAGCAAUCCCAAAGCAUCAACUGGCUGGAACUAAAGGCUGUCCACUUAGCCCUAUGUCAUUUUCAGUCUCUGUUCCCUUUGCAUCAUGUGCUCAUUCGAACAGACAACACGUGUGUAAAAUCACAUUUGAACAGACAGGGGGGCACCAGGUCUCGUCCUCUGCAGGACUUAGCCUCCCUCAUCUUUGUCUGGGCAGAACAACAUCUACAAUCCCUGAAAGCAGAGCACCUCAGAGGGAUUUGGAAUGUGACAGCAGACUGGCUCAGCAGACAACAGGUCUUUCCGGGAGAAUGGAAACUUCAUCCAGCCAUUUUCCAUCGUCUCCAGUGUCGGUUCGGCGCCCUCUCUGUCGACCUGUUUGCCUCCAGUCGCAAUUGCCAGCUUCCCAGGUACUUUGCCCGAUACCUGGACUCAACAGCAGAAGCAGUGGAUGCUCUGACAACACCGUGGCCAGACAGUCUAUUGUACGCCUUUCCUCCCAUACUAUUGUUAGCCAAAACCUUGAGGAAGGCGCGAACCGAAAGGGCACAGCUGGUUCUGAUAGCACCAUUUUGGCCACGCCGACCGUGGUUUUCAGAUCUUCUGGCAAUGUCAAUGAUGGAUCCUUGGACACUUCCAGUAAGGCCAGACCUUCUAUCCCAGGGUCCAGUACUGCACCAGGACCCUACUUGGUUCAAUCUAACAGCGUGGCGUUUGAACGGAGACAUUUGAGGUCAGCUGGACUGUCUGACGCUGUGAUUGAUAUUAUUUUGGCCUCGAGAAGACCAUCUACCACCCGUAUUUAUCAACAUACCUGGGUGGCUUUCUCCAAGUGGUGUCAGUCCCACCACCACGAUCCAUCCCAGGCCACUGUGCAUCAGGUGCUCCAAUUUCUCCAUAGCGGCUUUAUGAUGGGACUUCGACCCAACACCCUACGUCGACAUGCGUCCACUCUGUCGUCCAUUCUCUCAGUGUCCUCUCCUGGAGAUCAUAUUUCCUCACAUCCAUUCAUCAAACAUUUUUUGAGGGGAGUCGCCCUACGCUCUCCGGCUGUUGUCCAUCGGUUUCCCUCAUGGAGUUUGCCGAAGGUUCUGCAGGCUUUGCAACGUCCUCCGUUUGAACCCAUCAGGACUGUGCCUCUUCGUAUACUGUCCUUCAAGGUCUUGUUCCUGAUCGCAAUCACAUCUGCUAGACGAGUUUCGGAGUUGGGCGCAUUGUCUUCCGCUCGCCAUCUCUGCGUCUUCCAUAAGGACUCUGUUGUACUGAACUGAUCCUUCCUUCCGUCCCAAGGUUGAUUCAGUUUUCCAUUGCAACCAGGACAUUGUUUUGCCUUCCUUUUGCCUGAAUCCUACCCAUCCUCUCGAGAAGGCUUGGCAUUCGUUGGAUGUCCGGAGGGCUCUCAAGACCUACCUGUCUAGGACCCAGGAUAUACGGCGAACUGAGUCUCUGUUUGUAUCCUUUCAUCCAAGGUCUAUGGGGCAUAAAGUUUCCAAUCCUACCUUAUCCCGUUGGUUAAGGGCAUGUAUUACUUUAGCAUAUGAGUCUCUGAAGCUGUCAGUUCUAGCUAGUAUAACGGCUCAUUCUACCAGGUCAGCUGCCACUUCGGCUGCUUUUGCCACUAAUGCUCCUGUUGCCGAUAUUUGUAGGGCUGCAGUCUGCUCUACCCCACACUCGUUUAUAAGGCAUUAUAAAAUAGAUCGCUAUGCCUCUGCUGACGCUUCUUUUGGCAGACGAGUGUUGCAACAGGUUCUUAAUGACGAUUAACACGUGGGUGGUCCCUCCCUGUUUGGGCUGCUGGGGUACAUCCCGUUGUGAUGGCCGGACUCAUAGGGAAAAUGGACCAUUGGUCUCACCUGAAGGGUGAUUUUCCUAUGAGGACGGACAUCACGACCCUCCCAGUUGGAGGAUGACUAUAUAUUUUUUAAUGUGUUCUAUAUUACUGUUACGCUAUUAUAUUUAAAUUUAAAAGUAAAGUCAAGACUUCUAGUUCUGUUAUACCGCUAUGUUGGAGUCAUGUUACUAUGCAUGGUACUAUUGUGUUAUUUUCCUGCUGCCAGGCCUGUUGGCCUUGUUCUUGUAUUUUUAGAUAUCUCUCCUUAGACUCGCUGCGAAUGAACUGGAGAGUGGGAGGGGCCUGACGCCCCUAGUCUUGACUUCAAAGACAUUCUUGCCUUCGCACGAUAGGUGGAGCUAAAACCCGUUGUGAUGUCCGUCCUCAUAGGAAAAUCACACUUCAGGUGAAGUACCAAAACAGGUAAAAGUGAAAAAGUUGAAGAACUUAAAGACUUUGGAUUCUAAACCUGGUGUUUACACAUCUUAUAAGCCA
RNA transcript from Rhineura floridana, 5101 nucleotides. It is a transcript of the gene named DENN domain containing 6A, with no coding region annotated. NCBI's taxonomy places the organism in Eukaryota, Metazoa, Chordata, Lepidosauria, Squamata, Rhineuridae. The record is from RefSeq and is a predicted model, not a curated record. The transcript is spliced from 16 exons.